UCCCUGGUAGCUCAGCGGUAAAGAAUCUGCCUGCAGUGCAGGAGACCUGGGUUCAAUCCCCGGGUAGAGAA
Molecule: transfer RNA, 71 nt
Filed under: Bison bison bison
Lineage: Eukaryota; Metazoa; Chordata; Mammalia; Artiodactyla; Bovidae
Rfam family: tRNA
About the family: Transfer RNA (tRNA) molecules are approximately 80 nucleotides in length. Their secondary structure includes four short double-helical elements and three loops (D, anti-codon, and T loops). Further hydrogen bonds mediate the characteristic L-shaped molecular structure. tRNAs have two regions of fundamental functional importance: the anti-codon, which is responsible for specific mRNA codon recognition, and the 3' end, to which the tRNAs corresponding amino acid is attached (by aminoacyl-tRNA synthetases). tRNAs cope with the degeneracy of the genetic code in two manners: having more than one tRNA (with a specific anti-codon) for a particular amino acid; and 'wobble' base-pairing, i.e. permitting non-standard base-pairing at the 3rd anti-codon position.
Source: Rfam by way of RNAcentral